AGAAUCAACGCUGGCGGCGUGCCUAACACAUGCAAGUCGAACGAGAAAGUGGAGCAAUCCAUGAGUAAAGUGGCGCACGGGUGAGUAACACGUGACUAACCUACCUUUUAGUGGGGGGAUAACCUAGGGAAACCUGGGCUAAUACCGCAUAAUACCUACGGGUCAAAGCAGCAAUGCGCUGGAAGAGGGGGUCGCGGCCGAUUAGCUAGUUGGCGGGGUAAUGGCCCACCAAGGCAGUGAUCGGUAUCCGGCCUGAGAGGGCGCACGGACACACUGGAACUGAAACACGGUCCAGACUCCUACGGGAGGCAGCAGUGGGAAUUUUGCGCAAUGGGGGAAACCCUGACGCAGCAACGCCGCGUGGAGGAUGAAGACCCUUGGGUCGUAAACUCCUUUCGAUCGGGACGAUAAUGACGGUACCGGAAGAAGAAGCCCCGGCUAACUUCGUGCCAGCAGCCGC
RNAcentral lists this ribosomal RNA (460 nucleotides) under uncultured bacterium. Its description in RNAcentral is "SSU rRNA". It matches the Rfam family "Bacterial small subunit ribosomal RNA", at positions 26 to 518 of the family's 1533-position model. The record is from RNAcentral.